Long non-coding RNA from Rhipicephalus sanguineus (brown dog tick), 241 nucleotides. RefSeq lists it as uncharacterized. The record is from RefSeq and is a predicted model, not a curated record. Lineage: Eukaryota; Metazoa; Arthropoda; Arachnida; Ixodida; Ixodidae. The transcript has 7 exons.
UUUCAGUUCUCGUGCACCAAGGAACAGCUGCUGACUCGGAGAAAAAGGAAAAUUCCAGUGUUCCAGCACCUACCGGCUGCGGUGAGGAUGCGACUGUCCCAGGAGCUUCGACAAGCCGCAGCAGUGUCACUACAUCAGGAGCUUCCACAACCCGCAGCAGCACCACUACGACAGACAUAACGAGACGAACAAGGCCCACGAGACGUAUACCAGCACCUCAUCAUCGAGACUAUGGUGAGUA